This 67-nucleotide transfer RNA is filed under the name Dreissena polymorpha. Its description in RNAcentral is "tRNA-Trp". Lineage: Eukaryota; Metazoa; Mollusca; Bivalvia; Myida; Dreissenidae. The record is from RNAcentral.
AGAAAACUAAGUUAAUAGACUUUCUUAUUUCAAAUAAGACAGUAGGGAUAAAGAUCCCUGUUUUCUG